GAUGAACGCUGGCGGCGUGCCUAAUACAUGCAAGUCGAGCGAACAGAUCAGGAGCUUGUUGCUCUGUCGUUAGCGGAGGACGGGUGAGUAACGUGUGGAUAAUCUACAUAUCAUACUGGUAUAACUUCGGGAAACGGGAGCUAAUCCCGGAUAAUCUAUUGAACCGCAUGGUUCAAUAGUGAAAGACGGUUUUGCUGUCACUUCUAGAUGGAUCCGGGCCGCAUUAGCUAGUUGGGAAGGUAACGGCUUUUCACGGCAACGAGGCGUAGCCGAACUGAGGGAGUGAUCGGCCACACUAGAACGUAGACACCGACCAUGCUCCUACGGGAGGGAGCAGUAUGCAACGGUACGCAAUAGUCGAGAGCCUGACGCAACAGCGGCGCGCGAGUGACGAAGAUCCUCGGAUCGGAAAACUCGGCUACUAGUGAAAAACAAAUUUGUAAGUAACUAAACCGGGCUUGACGGUACCGAAUCAAAAAGCCACGGCUAACUACGUG
RNAcentral lists this ribosomal RNA (497 nucleotides) under uncultured bacterium. Its description in RNAcentral is "partial 16S ribosomal RNA". It matches the Rfam family "Bacterial small subunit ribosomal RNA", at positions 28 to 507 of the family's 1533-position model. The record is from RNAcentral.